This is an RNA transcript of Carlito syrichta (Philippine tarsier), 2078 nucleotides long. It is a transcript of the gene named nucleolin pseudogene, with no coding region annotated. Lineage: Eukaryota; Metazoa; Chordata; Mammalia; Primates; Tarsiidae. The record is from RefSeq and is a predicted model, not a curated record. The transcript has a single exon.
AUCAUGGUGAAGCUCGCUAAGGCAGGUAAAAAUCAAGGGGAUUCCAAGAAAAUGGCUCCUCUUCUGAAGGAGUUAGAAGAAGAUAGUGAAGAUGAGGAAAUGUCAGAAGAUGAAGAAGAUUAUAGCAGUGGAGAGGAGGCUAUCAUCCCUCAGAAGAAAGGCAAGAAGUCUACUGCAACCCCAGUAAAGAAAGUGGUGGUUUCCUCAACAAAAAAGCCUGCAGUUGCCACCCACGCUGGCCAAGAAAGCAGUUGUCACCCUAGGCAAAAAAGCAGCUGCCAUACCAACUGAGAAGACAAUUACACCAGCCAAAGCAGUCGUGACUCCUGGCAAGAAGGGAGCCACACCAGGGAAGGCAUUGUAGCAACCUCUGGUAAGAAGGAAGCUGCCACCCCAGCAAAGAGGGCGAAGAACGGUAAGAAUGCCAAGAAGGAAGACAGUGAUGAGGAUGAGGAUGAUGAUGAAGAUGAGGAGGAAGAGGAUGAAUUUGAACCAACGGCGACAAAAGCAGCAGCUGCUACUCCUGCCUCAGAGGAUGAGGAUGAUGAAGACAAUGAAGGGGAAGAUGACUCUGAGGAGGAAGCCAUGGCUACUACACUGGUCAGAGGUAAGAAAGCUUCUGCAAAGGCUAUUCCUGUGAAAGCUAAGAGCGUGGCUGUGGAUGAAGAGGAAGAUGAUGAGGAUGAAGAUGAGGAUGAUGAUGAAGAGGAUGAGAAUGAUGAUGAUGAAGAGGAGGAGGAGGAGGAAGAAGAGGAGGAAAAGUCUGUCAAAGAAGCACCUGGAAAACGAAAGAAAGAAAUGGUCAAACAGAAAGCAGCUCCUGAAGCCAAGAAACAGAAAGUAGAAGCCACAGAGCCAACUACAGCUUUCAAUCUCUUUGUUGGAAACCUGAACUUUAACAAGUCUGCCGCUGAACUAAAAACUGGUGUUAGUGAUGUUUUUGCUAAAAAUGAUCUUGCCGUUGUGGAUGUCAGAAUUGGUAUGACCAGGAAAUUUGGCUAUGUGGACUUUGAAUCUGCUGAAGACCUGGAAAAAGCCUUGGAUCUCACUGGCUUGAAAGUCUUUGGCAAUGAAAUUAAACUAGAGAAGCCAAAAGGAAAAGACAGUAAGAAAGAUCGAGAUGCAAGAACCCUUUUGGCCAACAACCUCCCUUACAAAGUCACUCAGGAUGAAUUGAAAGAAGUGUUUGAAGAUGCUGUGGAUAUCAUAUUGGUCAGCAAGGAUGGAAAGAGUAAAAGGAUUGCUUAUAUUGAAUUUAAGACAGAAGCUGAUCCAGAUAAAUCCUAAGAAAAGCAGGGAACAGAGAUUGAAGAACGAUCUAUUUCCCUGUCCUACACUGGAGAGAAAGGUCAAAGUCAAGACCAUAGAUGUGGAAAGAAUAGCACUUGGAGAGGUGAAUCAAAAACUCUGGUUUUAAGCAAUCUUUCCUACGGUGCAAUAGAAGAAAUCCUUCAGGAAGUAUUUGAGAAGGCAACUUUUAUCAAAAUGCCCCAGAACCAAAAUGGCAAAUCUAAAGGGUAUGCAUUUAUAGAGUUUGCAUCAUUUGAAGAUACUAAAGAAGCUUUAAAUUCCUGUAAUAAAAAGGAAAUUGAGGGCAGAACAAUCAGGCUGGAGUUGCAAGGGCCCGGGGGAUCAUCUAAUGCCAGAAGCCAGCCAUCCAAAACUCUGUUUGUCAAAGGUCUGUCUGAGGAUACCACCAAAGAGAUGUUAAAGGAGUCAUUUGAUGGCUCUGUCCGGGCAAGGAUAGGCACUGACCUGGAAACCAGAUCCUGCAAAGGGUUUGGUUUUAUAGACUUCAGUAGUGAGGAAGAAGCCAAAGCAGCCAAGGAGGCGAUGGAAGAUGGUGAAAUAGAUGGAAGCAAUGUUACCUUGGACUGACCCAAGCCUAAGGGAGAAGGUGGCUUUGGAGGUCAUGGUGAAGGCAGAGGAGGCUUUGGAGGCCGAGGUGGUGGCAGAAGAGGCCAAGGUGGAUUUGGUGGCAGAGGCUGGGAGGCUUUGGAGGGAGAGGAGGCUUCAGAGGAGGCAGAGGAGGUGAAGGCGACCACAAGCUACAAGAAAAGAAGAUGAAGUUUGAAUAG